Molecule: long non-coding RNA, 146 nt
Organism: Melanotaenia boesemani (Boeseman's rainbowfish)
Lineage: Eukaryota; Metazoa; Chordata; Actinopteri; Atheriniformes; Melanotaeniidae
Exons: 3
Source: RefSeq, a predicted model, not a curated record
CUAUUUAUUUCUUCAUCCAAGGCGGACCACAGGAUGCGCAUAGAGUCCCACCUGUCCAGCAACAACACUCGGGAGGUGUGGCGGGGCAUACAGGACAUCACUAACUUCAGAGGUUGUGAUGUGUCGACAGCAGAUCAGAGCGCAAC